AAAUUGAAGAGUUUGAUCAUGGCUCAGAUUGAACGCUGGCGGCAGGCCUAACACAUGCAAGUCGAGCGGAAACGAGUUGUCAGAACCUUCGGGGAACGAUAACGGCGUCGAGCGGCGGACGGGUGAGUAAUGCCUAGGAAAUUGCCCUGAUGUGGGGGAUAACCAUUGGAAACGAUGGCUAAUACCGCAUGAUGCCUACGGGCCAAAGAGGGGGACCUUCGGGCCUCUCGC
RNAcentral lists this ribosomal RNA (231 nucleotides) under Vibrio parahaemolyticus. Its description in RNAcentral is "partial 16S ribosomal RNA". It matches the Rfam family "Bacterial small subunit ribosomal RNA", at positions 1 to 218 of the family's 1533-position model. Lineage: Bacteria; Pseudomonadati; Pseudomonadota; Gammaproteobacteria; Vibrionales; Vibrionaceae. The record is from RNAcentral.